GUGGGGAAUUUUGGACAAUGGGCGCAAGCCUGAUCCAGCCAUGCCGCGUGCAGGAUGAAGGCCUUCGGGUUGUAAACUGCUUUUGUACGGAACGAAAAGACUUCUUCUAAUACAGGAGGUCCAUGACGGUACCGUAAGAAUAAGCACCGGCUAACUACGUGCCAGCAGCCGCGGUAAUACGUAGGGUGCAAGCGUUAAUAGGAAUUACUGGGCGUAAAGCGUGCGCAGGCGGUUAUAUAAGACAGAUGUGAAAUACCCGGGCUCAACCUGGGAACUGCAUUUGUGACUGUAUAGCUAGAGUACGGUAGAGGGGGAUGGAAUUCCGCGUGUAGCAGUGAAAUGCGUAGAUAUGCGGAGGAACACCGAUGGCGAAGGCAAUCCCCUGGACCUGUACUGACGCUCAUGCACGAAAGCGUGGGGAGCAAACAGGAUUAGAAACCCGGGUAGUCC
This 450-nucleotide ribosomal RNA is filed under the name uncultured bacterium. Its description in RNAcentral is "bacterial SSU rRNA". It matches the Rfam family "Bacterial small subunit ribosomal RNA", at positions 354 to 796 of the family's 1533-position model. The record is from RNAcentral.